RNAcentral lists this transfer RNA (82 nucleotides) under Trichosporon asahii var. asahii CBS 8904. RNAcentral describes it as "tRNA-His". Lineage: Eukaryota; Fungi; Basidiomycota; Tremellomycetes; Trichosporonales; Trichosporonaceae. The record is from RNAcentral.
GCUCGUAUAGUGUAGGUGGUUAUCACCGUUCGUUGUGGAAGACAACUCCGAGCUGACCGCUGUUCGACUCAGCGUGCGAGCA